RNAcentral lists this non-coding RNA (28 nucleotides) under Mus musculus (house mouse). The record is from RNAcentral. Lineage: Eukaryota; Metazoa; Chordata; Mammalia; Rodentia; Muridae.
UGCGUGCAUGCUAAUUCUGGUUUACAAC